Molecule: transfer RNA, 73 nt
Filed under: Enterobius vermicularis (human pinworm)
Lineage: Eukaryota; Metazoa; Nematoda; Chromadorea; Rhabditida; Oxyuridae
Rfam family: tRNA
About the family: Transfer RNA (tRNA) molecules are approximately 80 nucleotides in length.
Source: Rfam by way of RNAcentral
GGCCCUGUGGCCUAAUGAAUAAGGCCUUGCUUUCCCAAAGCGAAGACUGCAGGUUUGAGUCUUGCCUGGGCCA